CCUGGUGUGUUGCGAGGAAAAAGAGAAAAAAAAAACAGCUAAGACGUGUCUUUAACUACGACUGGAAAAACAGGGGCGGUAUAACACUGCUACCUGGAGGUGGCUGAGCACGGUCCACACUGCAUGAAGUAGGGAGACGAAACUGAAUCCCUGUAAGGAGGAAGUGACAUCAGUUAGAAAGAAAACAUGCAGGAAGCAUUGGAGCUGGCUCUGUCAUGCAUCUUCUUACUGCAGCAACCCCAGCGCAUCUCACAGUGGAGGUCCGAAAUAACUCCAACAGAAGAUCCAGCUGUGUGAAUCCACACACAGUAUUAAAGAGCGACAUACCUGCAAAGCUUGAGUGUCAAGUGGUAGAAAGGCAGACAUGAGAGAAGAUGAGGAUUAAAACUGAGGACAAGAGCAUCAGGACGAAUGGCUGCCUGUGGAGAAGUCUUAGGACUCGUGUCGGAGUCUCCGCUUUCAUCCUCCAGCUCUCCCAUAGCUUUGACAUAGCUACUGCUCCGCAUGCGGCGACAUGGAAUCUCCUCAUCUUUGUCACCGGGGUAACCGCUCCACUCAUCUUGGGGUACCUGCAGGACACAAUACAUCUUAACGCAAAACACUGUCAUGCUUAGUCCAGUGUUUGUGGAGAAAUGUCAGACGGACGCUCCAUUUUCUCUGAUUGCAAAAUGUAAGCCUUAUUUUAGUUUGAGUGCAAAAAGUAUCAUUAGCAUGUACAAUGGUGCACAAUGAGCCAAAUGAGUACGAGACGUUUAUGAGGCAAGCUGUUGCAUAAGUUCUGCUUGUUUGUGUCUCCAACGGGAAAAUUAGGCUCAAUAACUGUUUUAUUGACCUCUGAGCUUUGCCUCCUAAAAUAAACUAUCAUUAUUAAA
Long non-coding RNA from Gambusia affinis (western mosquitofish), 872 nucleotides. RefSeq lists it as uncharacterized. The transcript has 5 exons. Lineage: Eukaryota; Metazoa; Chordata; Actinopteri; Cyprinodontiformes; Poeciliidae. The record is from RefSeq and is a predicted model, not a curated record.